ACUCAAAUGAAUUGACGGGGGUCCGCACAAGCAGUGGAGCAUGUGGUUUAAUUCGACGCUACGCGAAGAACCUUACCCACUCUUGACAUCCCGAGAACCCCUGAGAGAUCAGGGGGUGCCCGGAAGGGAGCUCGGUGACAGGUGUUGCAUGGCCGUCGUCAGCUCGUGUCGUGAGAUGUUGGGUUAAGUCCCGCAACGAGCGCAACCCUUAUCGUCUGUUGGAUUUUUCAGGCGAGACCGCCGGCGACAAGCUGGAGGAAGGUGGGGAUGACGUCAGGUCAGCAUGGCCCUUACGAGUGGGGCUACACACGUGCUACAAUGGCCGCCACAACGAGUCGCGAAGCAGCGAUGCUAAGCUAAUCUCCCAAAAGCGGUCCCAGUUCGGAUAAGAGGCUGCAACUCGCCUCUUUGAAGUCGGAAUUGCUAGUAACCGUGGGUCAGCAUACCGCGGUGAAUACGUUCUCGGACCUUGUACACACCGCCCGU
This 486-nucleotide ribosomal RNA is filed under the name uncultured bacterium. Its description in RNAcentral is "partial 16S ribosomal RNA". It matches the Rfam family "Bacterial small subunit ribosomal RNA", at positions 899 to 1397 of the family's 1533-position model. The record is from RNAcentral.